This 21-nucleotide non-coding RNA is filed under the name Caenorhabditis elegans. Lineage: Eukaryota; Metazoa; Nematoda; Chromadorea; Rhabditida; Rhabditidae. The record is from RNAcentral.
UCGUUAUGAUGGAAAGUGGAA